CGGCGCGUUGCGGCGUGGCUCGGUGGAGAAGGUGGUGUAGCUGGCUCAGGUGGCCCUGCUUCCCUGGUUGGCAGUGGAGACCGGCAGUCCCUUGUGUUCAUUGUCUGUGGAAAGAGUAUUUCAGAGUGGAGUUUUUAUCAGAGAGUCCUAGCUGGAGGUGACUCUUCAGAGUUGUAGGAACUGAAUUUUGAGCUACAGAUCAGCCUUAGUUGGAGUUGAAUUCCUCUCCACUCCUCACAUUCUUUUGGGCAUCUGAUGGCUAAUCUCUCAGAGGGGUUGGCAACUUGGAGAUCUCCCGCCAGCCCUUCAGACUUUUAAUUGUUUGGGCCUUACAAGGCCUUUGGCCAGCUCUGGGAGCUCUGCUGUUGAUGGCUGCAGCCCAAGCUGCACUCAAGGAGAAGAUCCUGCAGCUGAAACAAUUCCUGACCAUUCUGCACAGGAAGAUGCAUACCUGGGUGAGGGAAUGUCAUCCAGAAAGCAGUGAGAAGGCAAUGACUUUGGUGCAGGAUUUGGAGUGAGAACCUGCGAUGCCAAGGCAAUUGCCCAGAGCCAACAUUUGGAUCGUGAAUGGGAAACCCUGCAUGUGAAGAAGCAGAGAGGAGACAUCAAGGCUCAGCAGGCUGCAGAGCACCUGUCUCUGAAUCUGGAUGGCUGCUCUGAGGAGGCGACAUUUGGCCCAGAUGGGGAAGAACGAUCUGAGAAAGGCAAGAGAGCAGUCCAAUCGGCAGACCUUCCCCAAGUGUCCUGAGACUCUAGGAAAGGGCUUGGUUCCCCCAGAAAGGCCUGGGCAUAGAAGUAGACCCUCACAGCCAGGAUGUUUUGUUUUUAAUCUCCUCUGCCACUGGAGAAACUCGGGAGCUACCAUAGCUACCUGUGUGUGUGAGCACACACCUGACUCUCACCUUUCCCUCUCCCCAUCCGGCCACUGCCUGUCUCUGUCUCGCCCUAGCACUAGCUUCUCCCCCUCUCCCUUAUCCUUCAUGUCCUCGCACUCUGUCCCGCUGCUUUUGGUCUCACACUCCCUCCCUUGCUCUUGCUUGCCUUGUCACACAUGCUGCCGUCCCUGUCACAAGGCCUGACUCCCCUGCUGCGUCUUUCUUUCAGUCUCUGCCUGUGUCUAUCUUGCCUGCUCUGGCUUCCCAUUGAUUUCCUCCUUUCCUUCUAUCUAAAAGUCUCCCCACUCCCUCUGUCUCCCUCCCUCUUGGAUUCUUUCGGUAUCUCUGAACAACUGAACACAUCCAUCUGGACCUAGAGGGAAGGUGGAUCCUUACCCAGUGAGACAUGUCUGUCCUCCUGUGCAGCACCCCUGUGGAGCACCCUCUGUGCAGGGCCAGCGUGCACCCCAUCUUGCUGACAGAGAGAUAUGACUCUGUGCUUACACGUGGCUGGUCCCUGUAACAACACCAGGGCUGCUGCUACAGAUAAACAGCACUGCUCUAGCCUGGGGUAGGGGCAGAGACAGGACCACAGUCAUCAGAUCAGGGGCAGUGCAAAGGCAGGGGGAGAUCAGCCCUCCGUGGGAAGGAUCGGGAUGGGUUAAGAGCCAUGUGAUGAUGUCAGAGUGGACAGAAUACCUGACAAGCUCAGUGGACUACAUAAAAUCUUUAUAAUGUCUUUAGAAAAGAAGGGAUUUCAGUGUGAGACUGAGUGCUAAGGUGAAGUGGGAACUUCAAAAGAAGCCGAAGGCAUCAACCACAGCUCACCCGGGACCCAGCUGUCCAGACCAUCAUACCUGUCUCCUGGGCUCGGAGACCCUUCUUUUCGGGCAGAUUCCUAGGAACUUGAGGCGCAAGCCAAGCUGGGGAAGAGAAUAGUCACUAUUAGAGGGAAACUUCUGCAUAACAGCCACAGAAAAGAGGUUCUCAAAGUGGGCUCCCUGGGCCAGCCACAUCAGCAGCACCUGGGAACCUGUCAGAAAUGCAAAUUCUGGGGCCUCACCUCAGAUCCUCUGAAUCAGAAGCUCUACAGGCAGGGCCUGGGAAGCUGUGCUUUAACAUGCCCUCUAGAUGAAUCCAAGGCACGCUCAAGUUUGAGAACCACUGCCAUAUCCAACGGCCUCUAUGUGUUGAGAAGUUCCUUUCACUAGAUUCCUCUUGGCAUAACAGCUUUAAAAUUUUUUUUUUCAUUUUAGAGAAAUACGUACAUGUUAGAGGCAAAAAAUUAAAUGAAUAAUAGAGGGGGGAAAAAAUCUCUCCAUAGCCCCACCACCCAGAGAUAACCAUAGUACUCUUAAAAACACCAUAGUAACUGAAACCUUUUAUAUUUUUCAGAACAAGAUAAUAUAUUCUUUCUGAAACCCCCAAUUUUAAGAAUCCUACAAAUGAAAUGAUACAUUUUUAUGACGUAUUAAUUGAACUUCAGCAUAGGCUCAGGUAUGUGACUCCUGGGGCGGUUAUAACACUCCAGAUCUGUGAGCGGCCUGUGGGCGUGGGGAGCAGAGGGAGCACUGCGAGGCUGCCUCCCUUCACUCACAGUGGCCACUGGCCCCAAGCCUUGGAAAUCACAGGUCAGAGAGCACAGGUAUUCCCGACGAUUAAAAGGAAAUAAACACUAAAUGGCAAAAUUUA
Molecule: long non-coding RNA, 2567 nt
Organism: Lemur catta (Ring-tailed lemur)
Lineage: Eukaryota; Metazoa; Chordata; Mammalia; Primates; Lemuridae
Exons: 4
Source: RefSeq, a predicted model, not a curated record